CACGUAGUUAGCCGGGGCUUCUUAGUCAGGUACCGUCAUUUUCUUCCCUGCUGAUAGAGCUUUACAUACCGAAAUACUUCUUCACUCACGCGGCGUCGCUGCAUCAGGGUUUCCCCCAUUGUGCAAUAUUCCCCACUGCUGCCUCCCGUAGGAGUUUGGGCCGUGUCUCAGUCCCAAUGUGGCCGGUCGCCCUCUCAGGCCGGCUACUGAUCGUCGCCUUGGUGAGCCGUUACCCCACCAACAAGCUAAUCAGACGCGGGUCCAUCCUAUACCACCUCAGUUUUUCACACCGAACCAUGCGGUUCUAGUGCGCUUAUGCGGUAUUAGCAGUCAUUUCUAACUGUUAUCCCCCUGUAUAGGGCAGGUUACCCACGCGUUACUCACCCGUCCGCCACUCAGUCAUAAAAGUCCUCAUCCGAAGAAUCGUCCUUAAAUGCUUCGUUCGACUUGCAUGUGUUAAGCACGCCGCCAGCGUUCAUCCUGAGCCAGGAUCAAACUCU
Molecule: ribosomal RNA, 500 nt
Filed under: uncultured Eubacteriales bacterium
Lineage: Bacteria; Bacillati; Bacillota; Clostridia; Eubacteriales
Description: uncultured Clostridiales bacterium partial 16S ribosomal RNA
Source: RNAcentral